This 165-nucleotide long non-coding RNA is filed under the name Mus pahari (shrew mouse). Its description in RNAcentral is "sRNA (MGP_PahariEiJ_G0008213.1)". It matches the Rfam family "TTC28 antisense RNA 1 conserved region 1". Lineage: Eukaryota; Metazoa; Chordata; Mammalia; Rodentia; Muridae. The record is from RNAcentral.
CUCUCGGAGCACGAGGCCUCCACUGCGGCUGCGUGGCCCCUUGGCGCGCCGGGGAGCCUUAGAGCGCGCCUGCGUACACUCGGCGAGCUCUGGGGGCUGCAUGCCAGGCGUCCUCCCGCCAGCCUCAGUCUCUCAGGGCGCUCGCUCUGCAGCCUGCGGUUUCCA